This 459-nucleotide ribosomal RNA is filed under the name uncultured bacterium. RNAcentral describes it as "partial 16S ribosomal RNA". It matches the Rfam family "Bacterial small subunit ribosomal RNA", at positions 338 to 795 of the family's 1533-position model. The record is from RNAcentral.
CCUACGGGGGGCAGCAGUGAGGAAUAUUGGUCAAUGGCCGGAAGGCUGAACCAGCCAUGCCGCGUGAAGGUCAGUGCCCUAUGGGCGUUAAACUUCUUUUGUGCGGGAGCAAGAAUGGUCACGUGUGGCCAGACGAGAGUACCGUACGAAUAAGCAUCGGCUAACUCCGGGCCAGCAGCCGCGGUAAUACGGGGGAUGCAAGCGUUAUCCGGAUUUAUUGGGUUUAAAGGGAGCGUAGAUGGGUUGUUAAGUCAGUUGUGAAAGUUUGCGGCUCAACCGUAAAAUUGCAAUUGAUACUGGCAGUCUUGCGUACAGUUGAGGUAGGCGGAAUUCGUGGUGUAGCGGUGAAAUGCUUAGAUAUCACGAAGAACCCCGAUUGCGAAGGCAUCUCACGAAUCCGCGAUUGACGCUGAUGCACGAAAGCGUGGGUAUCAAACAGGAUUAGAUACCCUUGUAGUC